CCGAGUUUACAACUCCCAAACCCCUGUGAACAUACCUAUCGUUGCUUCGGCGGGAUCGUCCCGGCGCCCCUCUUCGGGGCCCGGACCCAGGCGCCCGCCGGAGGACCCAAACCCUUGUAUUAUUUUGAGUAUCUUCUGAGUAAACAAGCAAAUAAAUCA
This 159-nucleotide unclassified non-coding RNA is filed under the name uncultured Fusarium. RNAcentral's name for it is "sequence contains ITS1". Lineage: Eukaryota; Fungi; Ascomycota; Sordariomycetes; Hypocreales; Nectriaceae. The record is from RNAcentral.